GACGAACGCUGGCGGCGUGCUUAACACAUGCAGGUCGAACGGAAAGGCCCUGCUUUUGUGGGGUGCUCGAGUGGCGAACGGGUGAGUAACACGUGAGUAACCUGCCCUUGACUUUGGGAUAACUUCAGGAAACUGGGGCUAAUACCGGAUAGGAGCUCCUGCUGCAUGGUGGGGGUUGGAAAGUUUCGGCGGUUGGGGAUGGACUCGCGGCUUAUCAGCUUGUUGGUGGGGUAGUGGCUUACCAAGGCUUUGACGGGUAGCCGGCCUGAGAGGGUGACCGGCCACAUUGGGACUGAGAUACGGCCCAGACUCCUACGGGAGGCAGCAGUGGGGAAUAUUGCACAAAGGGCGGAAGCCUGAUGCAGCAACGCCGCGUGCGGGAUGACGGCCUUCGGGUUGUAAACCGCUUUCGCCUGUGACGAAGCGUGAGUGACGGUAAUGGGUAAAGAAGCACCGGCUAACUACGUG
Molecule: ribosomal RNA, 468 nt
Filed under: uncultured bacterium
Lineage: Bacteria
Description: partial 16S ribosomal RNA
Rfam family: Bacterial small subunit ribosomal RNA
Source: RNAcentral